This 3314-nucleotide long non-coding RNA is filed under the name Lepisosteus oculatus (spotted gar). RNAcentral's name for it is "lncRNA (ENSLOCG00000021581.1)". The record is from RNAcentral. Lineage: Eukaryota; Metazoa; Chordata; Actinopteri; Semionotiformes; Lepisosteidae.
AUUUUUUUACCUUUGUAAAUACAUAAAUAAUAAAUACAUGUAGUUUUAUUUUUAUAGCUACUGGAAAAACACUUCCAUGGUUUAAUUGUACCUUUUUAAACAUUGUUGCUGAACGGUUUUGGAAAGGAGAGGCAAAGGGAGUUUUUCUUGACUAAUGUGGAAAAUGUGAAUAAAGCACAAUGAGCGCUUACUUGAUGAUGAUUUAGAUGCUGAGAAAAUUCGGAGAUCUUUCCAUCAUCAUUCUGAACAUCAACCCAAUUGACAGAACUCUGUAUGUUUCAGCAGCAGCUGGAAAAUGUCCGGUGAUCGCUGAGCCUUUCCUGUUUUCUCUCAGAGUACAGAGAGCACCAUACUCUGCCAGCUGGAGGCAGUCUGACUAUCCCUGUGUACACGAGGGAGAAAGUGGUGAUGCUGUUCCAUCCUUCUAGAAACGGGGAUUCUUUCGAACUGUGUACUCUAGAGAAUGGAAUAGCAGACUGCCACGAUGAGUACAACCAUGCGAUAUCCUUUAAGGGGGAAGGUCUGGUGUUACAUGGCUUAACACCAGAAUACCAUGGGAAAUUCGAAGUGCUCCACAGGGAGAGAAAUGUGCUCCUCAGCCAUGUGUCACUGACAGUAAAAGAUCACAAAGAACACAUCACCCUGCAGACUGGAGCUGUCCUCAUUAUCCGCUUCUACACUGAUACGCCAGUGAAGGUGCUGUUUUUCCCCCCGGGGGGACAUCAGCCCCCCCGAACUCUGCUAAACCACAGUGAGGUUCUUGUCCCUGAGGACUUCUUACUGAAGAAAGGAUGCCUGGUGCUGAAAAGAGUCACACCAGCACAUCAGGGCGUUUACAAAGUGCAGUACAUCAGCAAGGAAAUCAAUAUCAACACGGUAGCGGUCACUGUGGCAGAUUCAGAGAGACUGAGUGACUUUGGAAGCCCAUAUUUUGAGAAAAGGAUCAGCGGCAAAGACACAGGUUCUGAAAAUUUGCUCCAAGAUCCCAAAUUUCUAGCAGUGUUUGCUGUUAUAGGUGUUUUGGUGGUGAUAAUUCUGGUGAUGCUGUCAGUCGGGCUGAGAAGGAGGUGGUCGGACGUUAAUGGUAAAUUGCCAGUUCCCACAGGGUUGGAGGAUGACAGCAGUCCUAGCAGGGAACUAAACUGUACAGCGUAGGUGUUCUGGAAGUAUAAAAAUGCACCAACUUGUCAUAGACAAAGAGUUUAUGAUGAAGAAUGUAUUAAGUUUGACCAAUACGUACCUUUCUAUCAUGGAGAAAGAUUAAAUAAGCUUGGUAUCUUCAAUCUAGUGUAAUGGAUAUUAAGAGAAGUAUACAAAAUGAGAAGGCUCCACGGACGAAACGUUGUGUUUUCUUUCUUCUUCUUUUUAGCAUGGAAUAAACCUAUUACUUGUUCCUUUGCAGCCUACGCUUGCUGACGUAGCUACCCACCAAAAUUAUAGUAUACAAAUAUACAAAUUUUGAAGGGGUAUUGUAACAAAAGCGUUCUUUCAGGACUCUAUGCAGACGACACAAUCCGGGGAUGAGUGGGGAAAACACGGGGGGAAAGCAUGUAGGAGUUGGGAAUCAAAACAGGGGGCGUGUCCAUGGUGUGCUGGUGUUCGGGGGAGGUGUGGCUGAGGCAAACAAUCCAGGAGAAGGUCCAAGGGGGAAUCCAAGAGAAGACGAAAAUCCAAAACCAGGCGGUCCAUCCAAGACGAACAGAAUAAAAACGGGAACCAGGUCGGAACCGGCAGGAACAGGAACUUAAAAGCUUGACGUGACCAGGCGCUUCCAGGUCCCGGAUUCGCCUGGUAUGGAAACCAAUGCAGAGCCCGGAACAGAGUAGGCGUCUGGCUUUUAAGGGGAACUGAAAAGGGGUCUGGAACAGGGAGCAGGUGCGGGAGAUGAGUAAAGAACAAGGAAGGGCUGGAGCGUCCUUAAGAGAAGGGGUUUAUGAAUGUGACAGGAAUAGAUCCUGGUAGAAAUUUGUAUACCUACUGUAUUAUGGAAACGGCGACUCAGGGUCUAUAAUUUGUUCAAGUCUUUUUGUUGUUUCUGUGUUCGCCACUCUUUUGUUGUUGUCUGCAGAAUGUAAUAGGUUUACUAACUGCAUCGGGAUCUCACUUGUUGAUACGAGUAAGGAAGAGCAGUGAGCCUUAAACAGGUCCCUGUAGCACACCGGUGCUAACAACUUCCCAAGGACAGCUCAUGCACCUUAAGGUGGCACUGUGCCUGCUGUUUGAUCACAAGUUAUCAGUCCUUGUCAAGCAGUCACCUUGUAGUCCAAGUGCUUAGAAGUAUCCAGUUAUUAACUUUUCACCUGCUUUAUUUUAUUCUCAUCAUUUAAAAAUACUUCAAAUAUUUAUUUUAAUACUUUCUUUUAAUAUGAUUAAUAUAAUAUUAAAUCAAUUUCAUAUAACUGAAUAAUUAAAACAUAUAAGAUAUAACUAAUAUAAUAUUAAAUUAAUAUAAUCUAAUUUAAUCAUUAAACCAUGUAAGAUAUGAUUAAUAUAAUAUUAAAUUAAUAUUAUAUGAUUGAUCGAAUCAUAUAGGAUAUGAUUCAUAUAAUAUUAUUAAAUCACAUUAUUAACAUAUUAUUCAAUUAUUUUCAUACCUAUUUUAAUAUAUUUCAUUUUAAUAUUUUUAAACAAAUUUUAAUGUUUAAACAGUUCAGGAGAGGAGAGAAAAAUGCUAGAUGAUAUGCACUGACAGGAGGUGUGUUAGGGGAGAAAUAACAUUCCUUAUGUAACUCACAAUUCAAAAGAUAGACUAUUAAAGGGACAGAUAUUCUCAUUUUAAAUUCUAUUUUUGUAAAUAAUAAAAUGUAUCACUCACUGCAUUACUACUGUAUAUAUAUAUUUUUAGUUUGAGUGUUAGUCUUAAGCUGUAUUCUGUACAGGAUCUGUUGUGCCAGAAUCUAAAGAGAAACUGAAAUGAGCCAAACACAAACAUUGUUGAAUUGUAGGAAAUACUGGAGUGGGUCCCAGGAAGCACUAACAUUUCCUGUUAGAAAAUUAAUCUGUUUUGUAGCUGAUUGUAGAUAACUAGAGGGUGUAGUUUCACAUGAUCAUUUGCCGUUCCAGAAUAAUCGUUUUGUGUGUUUAACCAAUCACUCUCCACAGUAACCUCUGACUUGGGGUGUGGCUUUACUGACUAUUCCAAAUGUUGCCUGUCUUGAGGGGUCUGUGAUAGCUACGCUUCUGUUUGAUAUUUUCUGUAUACAUAUUUUCUGUCUAAAUAUUGCAAAUAACAGUGAUAUACGUAAGAGUGGAGGGUAAAAUGACUGUCAUAUUUUUUUAUACAAAUAAAGUGAAAAGGCAGACCUGAACAAAAC